UGAUAACCCCUCUCUGGAGCCAGGCUGCUAGUCUUGAUGGCUGUUUGCUGGGUUCGAUUUCAAAGGAAAGAACAAAGAAGGGAGAGGCAGAUCCUUGAGGGAAAAUCCACACAAUACAAACAAAGCGGAUUCUUUAUCAGCUGAGCCACAAGGGAAGCCCAAGAAUACUGAAGUGGGUAGCCUAUCCCUUCUCCAGUGGAUCUUCCCGACCUGGAAAUUGAACCAGGGUCUCCUGCAUUGCAGGCAGAUUUUUCACCAACAAGCUAUCACGGAAGCCCUAUGAGGAAAGACAGGAUCAAAAGCAGGAUAAGUUCCUGGUAAGCAACAGGGCACAGUAGUUGUGGCACAUGGGCUUAGUCGCCCCGAGGCAUGUGGAAUCUUCCCUGACCAGGAAUGCAACCCAUGUCCCCUGCAUUGGUGGAUUCUUAACCACUGGACCAUCAGGGAAGUCCGAAUUGCUUUAUUAUUGUAGAAUAAUCU
Molecule: long non-coding RNA, 480 nt
Organism: Bos taurus (domestic cattle)
Lineage: Eukaryota; Metazoa; Chordata; Mammalia; Artiodactyla; Bovidae
Source: Ensembl